GCAAGCAUAUACCAUAAAAAUUAUUGCACAAAAUAGAAAUGGUUGUAUGUCCAAGUAAACUCUGAUCUGAAUUGCUGUCCAUUACUGUCGUACAAUAGAGUCAUGGUGAGAUAGUUGUUUUGAGUUGUUUUAGUUAGGGGCUUUUAAGGUGAGAUAGUUGUUCUGAGAUGUUUUAGUUAGGGGCUUUUAAGGUGAGAUAGUUGUUCUGAGAUGUUUUAGUUAGGGGCUUUUAAGGUAAGAUAGUUGUUCUGAGAUGUUUUAGUUAGGGGGUUUUAAGUUUGAGAAUUGUCUGCCCACUCAAAGCAGAUCAGAUGAAUAGCAGAGUUUGUGGAGAAGCAAACAAUCUUUUAAAUAGGCUGGUG
Molecule: long non-coding RNA, 362 nt
Organism: Clupea harengus (Atlantic herring)
Lineage: Eukaryota; Metazoa; Chordata; Actinopteri; Clupeiformes; Clupeidae
Source: Ensembl